This is a long non-coding RNA of Lacerta agilis (Sand lizard), 1484 nucleotides long. RefSeq lists it as uncharacterized. Lineage: Eukaryota; Metazoa; Chordata; Lepidosauria; Squamata; Lacertidae. The transcript has 4 exons. The record is from RefSeq and is a predicted model, not a curated record.
GAAAAACAUCUGCUUUGUGUUGCUUUAUAAACGGGAACGAGCUGGUGGGGAUUAAUGACACGAAACUUUGCUCUGUUUUUAAGCUGUGCCUCUUCAGGAGAUGCUUGCCAACCCUAAAAAGAGUUAAGCUAGCCAGUGUAACUGUGGGAGAGCCACAUGAAGCUGACGAUGCGAACAUGAGAAAACGGAAGCUUGGAAAUGAAGCAAAGAAACCAAGAUGAGGAGGGAGCGAAGAGAUAUGGGUGCUUAGCCUGGGAGUGACUUUCUCUUGGUUUGUCCGGCCCUGGUACUGCUGGCAUCGGCUCUCUGGGGAAAGCUGCAGUUCUGCUGUUAAAACACAAGGAGCAGCCUGGAGAAUUUUGAGCUGCGUCACACAGCUCAGAGGGGGAGAGAGAGAGAGAGGGAAAGCAAGCUCUGUCGAUAGGUCUACUAGCAACAGCCCUGCUGCAGCAAGAGAGAGAGAGAGAGCUCAUGAAAGAGAAGUGAUAACAACAUUGGGAAGCAUGCUUCCUUUACCCAUACAGCAUAUUUUUUUAAAAAAAGAACCACUAUUUUGAAGCUUGUUUAGUACCAGCAGAUUUUGUCCACUGAUGAUACCGGAAAGAUGCAACGCAGUUAAUCCCGCAAGGGGGGGGGCAUACAUAGGAAGGGUUAAUGGGAGGAAAAUUCUGGAAUGUUCUAUCCUGCGGCGGCGCAAACAGAGGGUUGAGGACUGCACAGGUGUAGACGAACAGAAUUCGUGGUUCCUCUUUUUCCUUACGUGCAUCACUUCUCUCUCUCUCUCUCUCUCUCUCUCUCUCUCUCUCUCUCUCUCUCUCUCUCUCUCUUUCCCUCCCCCUUGCCCCCGGUGUGAGCCCUUGCUCUGCAGAGCUGUCUCCUCCAGAGGCAGUCUUGCAUCCUGCAGUGCUAGUUCCGCAGAGGAGGGCAACAGGGGGCACAACUGCGAUGGCUGCUCCCAGGAAGGGACCGACUCGGUGCUGAGAUCAUGCUUGUUCCUGGCAGGACUUGGAGACUAUAAUGCAGCUGGAAUUCUUACCUCAUGAACAAUCUUAUAUCAGAUGCCCAACAGACCACAGAGUUUGGAGAGAAUGAUGCCUAAUAGCAGGAAUUCUGUCUCGUCUGGUACAUGAUGCUUGCCAUUCCUUCAUCCCAUCAAAACCUGAUGUGGUUGGCUAUACCUUGCUGUUACAGCUUGAGUGGAAAGCUGUCAAGUAUCUUUGCUGAAUAAAUCAGAGGACGAGAAAUGUUUCAGAUUCCAUUUGUUUUGCUCGUCAAGUUUCAAGUAGUUGAAAUACCAAUGCUUGUACUGAUACAAGAAUGGCUACCUUCAUUGUUAGUAAGUAUAAAACUGCAGAUCACAUGCAAUGCCAUCCACAAACAAUUGAAACAAGGUGGCUCAGCCCUACCCCUGGAAUUGCCCAUUUUAGGGCCAUUUGCAGGAUUCUGCUGGCAGAGAUGAUGCAAAUGGGCCUUCUGCUUACAUG